Long non-coding RNA from Sapajus apella (tufted capuchin), 124 nucleotides. RefSeq lists it as uncharacterized. The record is from RefSeq and is a predicted model, not a curated record. NCBI's taxonomy places the organism in Eukaryota, Metazoa, Chordata, Mammalia, Primates, Cebidae. The transcript has 3 exons.
UUAUAUAGAAACAUAGACCUAUGGAACAAAAUAAAGAGCCAAGAAAUACGUCUAAACAUAUAUGGUCAAGUAAUUUUCAACAAGGGCACCAAGAGAAAACAAUGGGAAAAAGAUAUUUGCUUCA